This 253-nucleotide ribosomal RNA is filed under the name uncultured bacterium. Its description in RNAcentral is "partial 16S ribosomal RNA". It matches the Rfam family "Bacterial small subunit ribosomal RNA", at positions 524 to 776 of the family's 1533-position model. The record is from RNAcentral.
GACGGAGGAGGCAAGCGUUAUCCGGAAUUACUGGGCGUAAAGGGUACGCAGGCGGCUUCUUAAGUCUGGCGUGAAAGGUCACGGCUUAACUGGGAGAGGUCGUUGGAGACUGAGGGGCUUGAGGCGAUGAGAGGGGUGUAGAAUUCCCGGUGUAGUGGUGGAAUGCGUAGAUAUCGGGAGGAAUACCAGUGGCGAAAGCGACACCCUGGCAUAGGCCUGACGCUCAUGUACGAAAGCGUGGGGAGCAAACGGG